GAUGAAUGCUGGCGGCGUGCCUAAUACAUGCAAGUCGAGCGAACAGACGAGGAGCUUGCUCCUCUGACGUUAGCGGCGGACGGGUGAGUAACACGUGGAUAACCUACCUAUAAGACUGGGAUAGCUUCGGGAAACCGGAGCUAAUACCGGAUAAUAUAUUGAACCGCAUGGUUCAAUAGUGAAAGACGGUUUUGCUGUCACUUAUAGAUGGAUCCGCGCCGCAUUAGCUAGUUGGUAAGGUAACGGCUUACCAAGGCGACGAUGCGUAGCCGACCUGAGAGGGUGAUCGGCCACACUGGAACUGAGACACGGUCCAGACUCCUACGGGAGGCAGCAGUAGGGAAUCUUCCGCAAUGGGCGAAAGCCUGACGGAGCAACGCCGCGUGAGUGAUGAAGGUCUUCGGAUCGUAAAACUCUGUUAUUAGGGAAGAACAAAUGUGUAAGUAACUAUGCACGUCUUGACGGUACCUAAUCAGAAAGCCACGGCUAACUACGUG
RNAcentral lists this ribosomal RNA (497 nucleotides) under uncultured bacterium. RNAcentral's name for it is "partial 16S ribosomal RNA". It matches the Rfam family "Bacterial small subunit ribosomal RNA", at positions 28 to 507 of the family's 1533-position model. The record is from RNAcentral.